UUUGCAUGUAUAAAUA
RNAcentral lists this small RNA (16 nucleotides) under Arabidopsis thaliana (thale cress). RNAcentral describes it as "ATSL149110". Lineage: Eukaryota; Viridiplantae; Streptophyta; Magnoliopsida; Brassicales; Brassicaceae. The record is from RNAcentral.